Molecule: ribosomal RNA, 467 nt
Filed under: Citrobacter freundii
Lineage: Bacteria; Pseudomonadati; Pseudomonadota; Gammaproteobacteria; Enterobacterales; Enterobacteriaceae
Description: bacterial SSU rRNA
Rfam family: Bacterial small subunit ribosomal RNA
Source: RNAcentral
AGCGGUGGACAUGUGGUUUAUUCGAUGCAACGCGAAGAACCUUACCUACUCUUGACAUCCAGAGAACUUAGCAGAGAUGCUUUGGUGCCUUCGGGAACUCUGAGACAGGUGCUGCAUGGCUGUCGUCAGCUCGUGUUGUGAAAUGUUGGGUUAAGUCCCGCAACGAGCGCAACCCUUAUCCUUUGUUGCCAGCGGUUAGGCCGGGAACUCAAAGGAGACUGCCAGUGAUAAACUGGAGGAAGGUGGGGAUGACGUCAAGUCAUCAUGGCCCUUACGAGUAGGGCUACACACGUGCUACAAUGGCAUAUACAAAGAGAAGCGACCUCGCGAGAGCAAGCGGACCUCAUAAAGUAUGUCGUAGUCCGGAUUGGAGUCUGCAACUCGACUCCAUGAAGUCGGAAUCGCUAGUAAUCGUGGAUCAGAAUGCCACGGUGAAUACGUUCCCGGGCCUUGUACAACCCGCCCGU